RNAcentral lists this long non-coding RNA (714 nucleotides) under Strigops habroptila (Kakapo). Its description in RNAcentral is "lncRNA (ENSSHBG00005009840.1)". Lineage: Eukaryota; Metazoa; Chordata; Aves; Psittaciformes; Psittacidae. The record is from RNAcentral.
AGACGCGCUCCCGGCGCCGGCAGCGAGCGGGGCGGCAAGCAGCGGCGGCGGCGGCGGGACUUUGCGAGAUGACCGGCCCCGCGUCCAGCGCGGGCGCGGAGCGGCAGGCAAGAGCCCGCGGAGGAGGCGCGCAGCGCCGGCAGCGUGGUGACACUCAUGGGACAAGUCACUGAGAAGAGCACACAGGAAGCAAAAGGGAAUGGAAAACGGUUAAAUAAGGAGGAAUGUCUGCCAUGGGCUGCAGCCGCUUAGGAUACAUUGGGAUCCACAAGAGAAGGGACAAAUAAUGGGUUACAGAGCUCUGGUGCAACCAAAGGGACCCGUUUCCAGUCUUCUUAAUCAAAAUUGCAAUAACUGCAACAGGUGAGACAUGCGUGCUGUGGCCCCGAGACAGCAAACCAGUUCACAGGCUGCGGUUUCCAUAUCGGUUCCUAAAGCUGCUUGUAGGAAAUCACCCAGCCCAAAGAACCUCCUGGGAUCCCAGCCUCUACCUUCCUAUUUCAAAAUGCAUGGCUCCAGACUAAAGAGCAAGGCAUCCCAUGUUGACAGAUUGGGGGGGAAUAUACCAAGCAAAGGGAUCUGCUACCAAGAUGCCCAUAAACCAGCAGUUCUGCCAUCCUCCAGAAUGUGAACUUUUCCCUCGGUUUUUAGUUGUAUUUUGAUUAAAGUGUAAAUACCAGCAACUGGCACAUGUCAGACGGUGUCAGAGCCGCA